GGAAGUGCGGCAAUAACAGGUCUGUGAUGCCCUUAGAUGUCCUAGGCUGCACGCGCGCUACACUGUCUGGUACAAUGAGUCUACAAUGCUGGUCCGAUAGGAUUGGCGAAUCUUGUGAAUGCUUGACGUGAUGGGGAUUGAUCAUUGAAAUUAUUGGUCAUGAACGAGGAAUUCCUUGUAGGUAUGCUUCAUCAAAGCAUGCCGACUACGUCCCUGCCCUUUGUACACACCGCCCGUCGCUCCUACCGAUUGAGUGAUCAGAUGAAAUCCGCGGAUCCGAGCCGGCUUGCUGGUUCAGAGAAGUUGAGUAAAUCUUAUUGCUUAGAGGAAGGAGAAGUCGUAACAAGGUUUCCGUAGGUGAACCUGCAGAAGGAUCA
This 377-nucleotide ribosomal RNA is filed under the name Flamella sp. Its description in RNAcentral is "SSU rRNA". It matches the Rfam family "Eukaryotic small subunit ribosomal RNA", at positions 1439 to 1828 of the family's 1831-position model. Lineage: Eukaryota; Evosea; Variosea; Flamellidae. The record is from RNAcentral.